RNAcentral lists this ribosomal RNA (449 nucleotides) under uncultured bacterium. RNAcentral describes it as "bacterial SSU rRNA". It matches the Rfam family "Bacterial small subunit ribosomal RNA", at positions 354 to 796 of the family's 1533-position model. The record is from RNAcentral.
GUCGAGGAUUUUUCUCAAUGGGGGAAACCCUGAAGGAGCGACGCCGCGUGAGGGAUGAAGGUCUUCGGAUUGUAAACCUCUGUCAUGCGGGAUCAAAGCUUACGACCUAAUACGUCGUAAGUUGAUAGUACUGCAAGAGGAAGCAGUGGCUAACUCUGUGCCAGCAGCCGCGGUAAUACAGAGACUGCAAGCGUUGUUCGGAUUCAUUGGGCGUAAAGGGUCCGCAGGCGGUCGGGUAAGUCGGAUGUGAAAGCUCGUGGCCUAACCACGAAAUGUCAUUCGAAACUGCUCGGCUAGAGGACUGGAGAGGAGACUGGAAUGGUCGGUGUAGCGGUGAAAUGCGUAGAUAUCGACCAGAACACCAGUAGCGAAGGCGAGUCUCUGGACAGUUCCUGACGCUCAUGGACGAAAGCCAGGGGAGCAAACGGGAUUAGAUACCCUAGUAGUCC